RNAcentral lists this ribosomal RNA (497 nucleotides) under uncultured bacterium. Its description in RNAcentral is "partial 16S ribosomal RNA". It matches the Rfam family "Bacterial small subunit ribosomal RNA", at positions 28 to 507 of the family's 1533-position model. The record is from RNAcentral.
GAUGAACGCUGGCGGCGUGCCUAAUACAUGCAAGUCGAGCGAACAGACGAGGAGCUUGCUCCUCUGACGUUAGCGGCGGACGGGUGAGUAACACGUGGAUAACCUACCUAUAAGACUGGGAUAACUUCGGGAAACCGGAGCUACUACCGGAUAAUAUAUUGAACCGCAUGGUUCAAUAGUGAAAGACGGUUUUGCUGUCACUUAUAGAUGGAUCCGCGCCGCAUUAGCUAGUUGGUAAGGUAACGGCUUACCAAGGCAACGAUGCGUAGCCGACCUGAGAGGAUGAUCGGCCACACUGGAACUGAGACACGGUCCAGACUCCUACGGGAGGCAGCAGUAGGGAAUCUUCCGCAAUGGGCGAAAGCCUGACGGAGCAACGCCGCGUGAGUGAUGAAGGUCUUCGGAUCGUAAAACUCUGUUAUUAGGGAAGAACAAAUGUGUAAGUAACUAUGCACGUCUUGACGGUACCUAAUCAGAAAGCCACGGCUAACUACGUG